CAUAUGAAAAGGGUUUCCCUGUAGGAAUUUAGAAAAAGGCGUAUUAGAUUAAGUAAUUAGAUAAUGGAGAAUCCUGCAGGAUAUUAUUAUUUAUAUAGCGCCAUCAGAUUCCGUAGCGCUGUACAAUGGGUGGACUAACAGACAACUGGACGUACAGGAACAGAGAGGUUGGAGGGCCCUGCUCAAUGAGCCAGUAUAGAGGGUAUGCAUUAUACAUAUUGUAAGGUGACUCUUUUUUUAUGCAUUUUCAUAAAUAGGACAAAAUGAUGUGUCCCUGAAAAAAUGAUGGACCUGGUU
Pelobates cultripes (western spadefoot toad) is the source of this 297-nucleotide non-coding RNA. NCBI's taxonomy places the organism in Eukaryota, Metazoa, Chordata, Amphibia, Anura, Pelobatidae. The record is from the annotation of a GenBank genome assembly.